RNAcentral lists this ribosomal RNA (253 nucleotides) under uncultured bacterium. RNAcentral's name for it is "partial 16S ribosomal RNA". It matches the Rfam family "Bacterial small subunit ribosomal RNA", at positions 524 to 776 of the family's 1533-position model. The record is from RNAcentral.
UACGUAGGGGGCAAGCGUUGUCCGGAUUUAUUGGGCGUAAAGAGCGUGUAGGCGGCUUUGCAAGUCCGUUGUGAAAACUCGAGGCUCAACCUCGAGACGCCGGUGGAAACUGCAAAGCUAGAGUCCGGAAGAGGAGAGUGGAAUUCCUGGUGUAGCGGUGAAAUGCGCAGAUAUCAGGAAGAACACCUAUGGCGAAGGCAGCUCUCUGGGACGGUACUGACGCUGAGACGCGAAAGCGUGGGGAGCAAACAGG